CAGUCGCCGCGGUAAAACGGAGGGUGCAAGCGUUAAUCGGAAUUACUGGGCGUAAAGCGCACGCAGGCGGUCUGACAAGUCAGAUGUGAAAUCCCCGGGCUUAACCUGGGAACUGCAUUUGAAACUGUCAGGCUGGAGUCUUGUAGAGGGGGGUAGAAUUCCAGGUGUAGCGGUGAAAUGCGUAGAGAUCUGGAGGAAUACCGGUGGCGAAGGCGGCCCCCUGGACAAAGACUGACGCUCAGGUGCGAAAGCGUGGGGAGCAAACAGGAUUAGAGACCCGUGUAGUCCCUGUCUCUUAUAC
RNAcentral lists this ribosomal RNA (301 nucleotides) under uncultured bacterium. Its description in RNAcentral is "partial 16S ribosomal RNA". It matches the Rfam family "Bacterial small subunit ribosomal RNA", at positions 509 to 807 of the family's 1533-position model. The record is from RNAcentral.